RNAcentral lists this unclassified non-coding RNA (331 nucleotides) under soil metagenome. RNAcentral's name for it is "partial contains 5.8S ribosomal RNA, internal transcribed spacer 2, and large subunit ribosomal RNA". The stretch from base 1 to 120 matches the Rfam family "5.8S ribosomal RNA", at positions 35 to 154 of the family's 154-position model. The record is from RNAcentral.
GAUGAAGAACGUAGCGAAAUGCGAUACGUAAUGUGAAUUGCAGAUUUCAGUGAAUCAUCGAAUCUUUGAACGCACAUUGCGCCCCUUGGUAUUCCGAGGGGCAUGCCUGUUCGAGCGUCAUUUCAACCCUCAAGCUCUGCUUGGUCUUGGGCCUGGCCGUGAUGGCCGGUCUUAAAAUCAGUGGCGGUGCCGUCGCAGGCUCCAAGCGUAGUACAUCUCUCGCUCUGGAAACUUGGCGGUGCCUGCCAGACAACCCCUAAUUGUCUCUUUCGGUUGACCUCGGAUCAGGUAGGGAUACCCGCUGAACUUAAGCAUAUCAAUAAGCGGAGGA